This 63-nucleotide small RNA is filed under the name Oryza sativa Japonica Group (Japanese rice). RNAcentral describes it as "sRNA Os02g0123116". The record is from RNAcentral. Lineage: Eukaryota; Viridiplantae; Streptophyta; Magnoliopsida; Poales; Poaceae.
UGGUAUAUCUUAAACUUUGCAAAAUUAUAAUGGCAUGGUUCCAAUUUACCCUUUUUUUAUCAU